ACUCCUACGGGAGGCAGCAGUAGGGAAUCUUCCACAAUGGGCGCAAGCCUGAUGGAGCAACACCGCGUGAGUGAAGAAGGGUUUCGGCUCGUAAAGCUCUGUUGUUAAAGAAGAACACGUAUGAGAGUAACUGUUCAUACGUUGACGGUAUUUAACCAGAAAGUCACGGCUAACUACGUGCCAGCAGCCGCGGUAAUACGUAGGUGGCAAGCGUUAUCCGGAUUUAUUGGGCGUAAAGAGAGUGCAGGCGGUUUUCUAAGUCUGAUGUGAAAGCCUUCGGCUUAACCGGAUAAGUGCAUCGGAAACUGGAUAACUUGAGUGCAGAAGAGGGUAGUGGAACUCCAUGUGUAGCGGUGGAAUGCGUAGAUAUAUGGAAGAACACCAGUGGCGAAGGCGGCUACCUGGUCUGCAACCGACGCUGAGACUCGAAAGCAUGGGUAGCGAACAGGAUUAGAUACCCUGGUAGGAAAGAG
This 473-nucleotide ribosomal RNA is filed under the name uncultured bacterium. RNAcentral's name for it is "bacterial SSU rRNA". It matches the Rfam family "Bacterial small subunit ribosomal RNA", at positions 335 to 799 of the family's 1533-position model. The record is from RNAcentral.